This 497-nucleotide ribosomal RNA is filed under the name uncultured bacterium. RNAcentral's name for it is "partial 16S ribosomal RNA". It matches the Rfam family "Bacterial small subunit ribosomal RNA", at positions 28 to 507 of the family's 1533-position model. The record is from RNAcentral.
GAUGAACGCUGGCGGCGUGCCUAAUACAUGCCAGUCGAGCGAACAGACGAGGAGCUUGCUCCUCUGACGUUAGCGGCGGACGGGUGAGUAACACGUGGAUAACCUACCUAUAAGACUGGGAUAACUUCGGGAAACCGGAGCUAAUACCGGAUAAUAUAUUGAACCGCAUGGUUCAAUAGUGAAAGACGGUUUUGCUGUCACUUAUAGAUGGAUCCGCGCCGCAUUAGCUAGUUGGUAAGGUAACGGCUUACCAAGGCAACGAUGCGUAGCCGACCUGAGAGGGUGAUCGGCCACACUGGAACUGAGACACGGUCCAGACUCCUACGGGAGGCAGCAGUAGGGAAUCUUCCGCAAUGGGCGAAAGCCUGACGGAGCAACGCCGCGUGAGUGAUGAGGGUCUUCGGAUCGUAAAACUCUGUUAUUAGGGAAGAACAAAUGUGUAAGUAACUAUGCACGUCUUGACGGUACCUAAUCAGAAAGCCACGGCUAACUACGUG